This 613-nucleotide small RNA is filed under the name Pongo abelii (Sumatran orangutan). RNAcentral describes it as "processed transcript". Lineage: Eukaryota; Metazoa; Chordata; Mammalia; Primates; Hominidae. The record is from RNAcentral.
ACUUGAGUUUCAAAAACUAAAGUUUCUGAAACCUCCAUCUAAUGAGUUUAAGUCUCAGUGGCCCUUAGCAGCAGCUCCAUUCGUGUGGCCAUGCUGGAGGAAAAUGGGGAGCGCGUCCUCAUGGAAGGGAAGCUCACCCACAAGAUCAACACUGAGAGUUCUCUCUGGAGUCUUGAGCCCGGGAAGUGCGUUUUGGUGAACCUGAGCAAGGUGGGCGAGUAUUGGUGGAACGCCAUCCUGGAGGGAGAAGAGCCCAUCGACAUUGACAAGAUCAACAAGGAGCGCUCCAUGGCCACCGUGGAUGAGGAGGAACAGGCGGUGUUGGACAGGCUUACCUUUGACUACCACCAGAAGCUGCAGGGCAAGCCACAGAGCCAUGAGCUGAAAGUCCAUGAGAUGCUGAAGAAGGGGUGGGAUGCUGAAGGUUCUCCCUUCCGAGGCCAGCGAUUCGACCCUGCCAUGUUCAACAUCUCCCCGGGGGCUGUGCAGUUUUAAUGACCAGAAGGAAAGGAAACCCUCGCCGGUGGGGAGGCAGAGCCUUAUCCUCGGCUGCCCUUCUCGGCUCCCUGCAUUCCAGGGACUUACUCGUCUUGUUUACCCCUAGCCGUCCUUU